This is a long non-coding RNA of Hemicordylus capensis (graceful crag lizard), 230 nucleotides long. RefSeq lists it as uncharacterized. The record is from RefSeq and is a predicted model, not a curated record. The transcript has 3 exons. Lineage: Eukaryota; Metazoa; Chordata; Lepidosauria; Squamata; Cordylidae.
GGGAGGAGAAGAGAAGGGGUGAGCCCUCUCAGUGGCAAAUUUGCAGGUUGGCCUGGCCACACAAAGAGACCCACUUUCAAAAAAGCCUCCACCCGCCGGGAGCUUGCUGGUUUGAGAGGCAGGCUGGAGAGCCCACCUGAGCAAAUGGACUUCUGUUCCAGUUCAUGUAGCGUUCAUUCUGAGUCCAUCGUCUCAGGGACGAACCACAUGGUAUGUUGGAGCAAUGCGAG